AGCUGCGUGGUCAAGACAAAGCGAACUAUUCUUUCGCCUUUUACUAAAGAAUACCGUGUCUUGGCCACUCAAAGCAGCAUACGCCAAUUUUUGGAGGCUUCCUCCAACUUUAGAGGAGGC
Cryptomeria japonica (Japanese cedar) is the source of this 120-nucleotide small nuclear RNA. RefSeq annotates it as U5 spliceosomal RNA. NCBI's taxonomy places the organism in Eukaryota, Viridiplantae, Streptophyta, Pinopsida, Cupressales, Cupressaceae. The record is from RefSeq and is a predicted model, not a curated record. The transcript has a single exon.